GGUUGACAAGCUCAAGCUCAAACAGCACGAAGAAUGGAAAAAGGCUGUGGCAACAUCCCACUGUUCUCAGCCGAACACUAUUGAGUAUGAGAUGUCCAUGGAUUGGAUUCUUUUACAGGAGAAAUCUGCUAAUUGGUUUAAGCAAUUGAACAAGAAACAGGGUUUACUUAGGGAUCAUGGCAAAAAGACCUUGAAAGCCAAUUAGGGAUUGCUGAUAUUAUCACCUACUUUUCAGAC
RNAcentral lists this unclassified non-coding RNA (237 nucleotides) under Hevea brasiliensis (rubber tree). The record is from RNAcentral. Lineage: Eukaryota; Viridiplantae; Streptophyta; Magnoliopsida; Malpighiales; Euphorbiaceae.